RNAcentral lists this ribosomal RNA (389 nucleotides) under uncultured bacterium. RNAcentral's name for it is "bacterial SSU rRNA". It matches the Rfam family "Bacterial small subunit ribosomal RNA", at positions 1 to 391 of the family's 1533-position model. The record is from RNAcentral.
CUAUGAGUUUGAUCAUGGCUCAGAUUGAACGCUGGCGGUAUGCAUAACACAUGCAAGUCGAACGGUAGCAGGCUCGGGAAACCGAGUGCUGACGAGUGGCGGACGGGUGAGUAAUGCGUAGGGAUUUGCCUAGUAGAGGGGGAUAACCUGGGGAAACUCAGGCUAAUACCGCAUAUGCCUAAGGGUGAAAGAGGGGGACCGUAAAAGGCCUCUUGCUACUGGAUGAACCUGCGUAGGAUUAGCUAGUUGGUAGGGUAAAGGCCUACCAAGGCGAAGAUCCUUAACUGGUCUGAGAGGACGACCAGUCACACUGGGACUGAGACACGGCCCAGACUCCUACGGGAGGCAGCAGUGGGGAAUAUUGGACAAUGGGCGCAAGCCUGAUCCAG